AAGCUAGUAAGAUCCCUGAAAGAUGAUCAGGUUGAUAGGUCAGAGGUGGAAGCGUGGCGACAUGUGUAGCUGACUGAUACUAAUCGAUCGAGGACUUAACCA
RNAcentral lists this ribosomal RNA (102 nucleotides) under Priestia megaterium. RNAcentral describes it as "Bacillus megaterium 23S rRNA. Bacterial LSU". It matches the Rfam family "Bacterial large subunit ribosomal RNA", at positions 2822 to 2925 of the family's 2925-position model. Lineage: Bacteria; Bacillati; Bacillota; Bacilli; Caryophanales; Bacillaceae. The record is from RNAcentral.